GCCAUUAUACCUUCAGCUACGAAAUUCAGAAAACAGUCCAUUUUUCUUUUCCUUUUAAGCUUCAAGUUAGUUUCUGCAGUCAUAUAUACAAAAAAUACAAAAACAAAAUACAGAAAAUAGAAAGUCAUUGUUUCAUUAGAAUUUUAGGCUAAUUUUGAUAUUCUAGUUCAUAAUUUCCACUUCCUGAUUCUCUAGCUCUUGGUUGAAGUUUCUAGGUGAUUCACAGUUGAUUUCGAACAAAUUUUGGGUUCAUUCACUUUGUGUUUGGUUGUUUGUUGUUGCUGCUGGUUUUGUUUCAAAUUCUGGGUUGGAUUUAGAGUUUCUGGGUUGGAUUUAGAGUUAAAUAGGUGUUAAGCUGUGUGUGUGGGUGAUCUCUGUUUGCUACUGGGUUUGAAAGCUUUUCUGGGUUGAUUGAAUUGAAUCCGGAAGUGCUGUUGAUUUCUUCCAGUUAUUGCUGUUGAGCUACUGAAUAUUAGUUGGUUACUAGCAGCUGAUUUCUUCUCUUUCUUUUCUGUUUUGUUUCCAGGUACAUGGUUUAAACUCAUCCUGAUGUAACUUCAAAAUUGAGUGGAAUGAAGUCAUGCUUCCCUGAUCUAGCUUGUUUAUUUGUGUGAAUCAUAGAUAGUCAACAAAUAUGAAAUUUGGUUGGUUUUUUGGACUUGCUAGAAUUAGGGAUUGGUUUGGAUUUGAACUUUUGUAUUGAAUCUGUUAGGCUGUAGACUAAAUUUUGAGUAUUUAAGUUGGUAAUUAGUAGUAUCUAUUUGCUGCAUUUUAGUUACUCGUAUAAAGCAUGUCAAGUUUGAGUAAUG
Molecule: long non-coding RNA, 809 nt
Filed under: Nicotiana benthamiana
Lineage: Eukaryota; Viridiplantae; Streptophyta; Magnoliopsida; Solanales; Solanaceae
Description: long non-coding RNA (NBEN_LNC012159)
Source: RNAcentral